This 301-nucleotide ribosomal RNA is filed under the name uncultured bacterium. Its description in RNAcentral is "partial 16S ribosomal RNA". It matches the Rfam family "Bacterial small subunit ribosomal RNA", at positions 509 to 809 of the family's 1533-position model. The record is from RNAcentral.
CAGUCGCCACGGUAAUGCGAAGGGUGCAAGCGUUACUCGGAAUUACUGGGCGUAAAGCGUGCGUAGGUGGUGGUUUAAGUCCGUUGUGAAAGCCCUGGGCUCAACCUGGGAAUUGCAGUGGAUACUGGGUCACUAGAGUGUGGUAGAGGAUAGUGGAAUUUCCGGUGUAGCAGUGAAAUGCGUAGAGAUCGGAAGGAACAUCUGUGGCGAAGGCGACUAUCUGGGCCAACACUGACACUGAGGCACGAAAGCGUGGGGAGCAAACAGGAUUAGAUACCCCCGUAGUCCCUGUCUCUUAUAA